GACGAACGCUGGCGGCGUGCCUAAUACAUGCAAGUCGAGCGAGCUUGCCUAGAUGAUUUUAGUGCUUGCACUAAAUGAAACUAGAUACAAGCGAGCGGCGGACGGGUGAGUAACACGUGGGUAACCUGCCCAAGAGACUGGGAUAACACCUGGAAACAGAUGCUAAUACCGGAUAUUAUGCUUUGACCGCAUGGUCUUAGUAUGAAAGCUAUAUGCGCUGCAAGAGAGCUUUGCGUCCUAUUAGCUAGUUGGUGAGGUAACGGCCCACCAAGGCGGUGAUAGGUAGCCGGCCUGAGAGGGUGAACGGCCACAAGGGGACUGAGACACGGCCCUU
RNAcentral lists this ribosomal RNA (334 nucleotides) under uncultured bacterium. Its description in RNAcentral is "bacterial SSU rRNA". It matches the Rfam family "Bacterial small subunit ribosomal RNA", at positions 28 to 334 of the family's 1533-position model. The record is from RNAcentral.